CCUACGGGAGGCAGCAGUGAGGAAUAUUGGUCAAUGGACGAGAGUCUGAACCAGCCAAGUAGCGUGAAGGAUGACUGCCCUAUGGGUUGUAAACUUCUUUUAUAUGGGAAUAAAAUGUUCCCCGUGUGGGAUUUUGUAUGUACCAUAUGAAUAAGGAUCGGCUAACUCCGUUCCAGCAGCCGCGGUAAUACGGAGGAUCCGAGCGUUAUCCGGAUUUAUUGGGUUUAAAGGGAGCGUAGGUGGAUUGUUAAGUCAGUUGUGAAAGUUUGCGGCUCAACCGUAAAAUUGCAGUUGAAACUGGCAGUCUUGAGUACAGUAGAGGUGGGCGGAAUUCGUGGUGUAGCGGUGAAAUGCUUAGAUAUCACGAAGAACUCCGAUGGCGAAGGCAGUUCACUGGACUGCAACUGACACUGAGGCUCGAAAGUGUGGGUAUCAAACAGGAUUAGAGACCCUUGUAGUC
This 460-nucleotide ribosomal RNA is filed under the name uncultured bacterium. RNAcentral's name for it is "partial 16S ribosomal RNA". It matches the Rfam family "Bacterial small subunit ribosomal RNA", at positions 338 to 795 of the family's 1533-position model. The record is from RNAcentral.